This 405-nucleotide unclassified non-coding RNA is filed under the name Hevea brasiliensis (rubber tree). Lineage: Eukaryota; Viridiplantae; Streptophyta; Magnoliopsida; Malpighiales; Euphorbiaceae. The record is from RNAcentral.
GACUUAAAAUGAUGUGGAGGAAAGUGGUAUAAAAGGAUUUACAUGUUAUGGAUAUUGAUGCGGAUUUGAUGUCUAAUAGAGGUGAAUUACGAAAAAGGAUUCAUACAGUUAACCCUAACGAGUUUGGGAUUAAGGCUGGCUUCUUGUUGUUGUGAUGUUGGUCGGAUUGGGACAAAUAAGUAUUUGAAAACAUGCUGUUAGAUUAAGAAACAAAGAAUUUUUUGCUUAUGUGUUAUAUGUUUAGUAUAAAACAUGUCUAUAGUGAUUGAAUUUGCGUGAUUUUUGAUAGAGAUGAUCACUGAGAUGUUAGGAAUAUUGUGUCAAACAACAACCACAACAAUUAAGUUUUAAUCCCAAACUAAUUGGUGUUAGCUAUGUGGAUCAUUUUUGGUUAUUUAAUUCUGU